RNAcentral lists this ribosomal RNA (492 nucleotides) under uncultured bacterium. Its description in RNAcentral is "partial 16S ribosomal RNA". It matches the Rfam family "Bacterial small subunit ribosomal RNA", at positions 29 to 507 of the family's 1533-position model. The record is from RNAcentral.
AGUGAACGCUGGCGGUAGGCCUAACACAUGCAAGUCGAACGGCAGCACAGUAAGAGCUUGCUCUUACGGGUGGCGAGUGGCGGACGGGUGAGGAAUACAUCGGAAUCUACUUUUUCGUGGGGGAUAACGUAGGGAAACUUACGCUAAUACCGCAUACGACCUACGGGUGAAAGCAGGGGAUCUUCGGACCUUGCGCGAUUGAAUGAGCCGAUGUCGGAUUAGCUAGUUGGCGGGGUAAAGGCCCACCAAGGCGACGAUCCGUAGCUGGUCUGAGAGGAUGGUCGGCCACACUGGAACUGAGACACGGUCCAGACUCCUACGGGAGGCAGCAGUGGGGAAUGUUAGACAAUGGGCGCAAGCCUGAUCCAGCCAUACCGCGUGGGUGAAGAAGGCCUUCGGGUUGUAAAGCCCUUUUGUUGGGAAAGAAAAGCAGCAGGUUAAUACCCCGCUGUUCUGACGGUACCCAAAGAAUAAGCACCGGCUAACUUCGUG